This 301-nucleotide ribosomal RNA is filed under the name uncultured bacterium. Its description in RNAcentral is "partial 16S ribosomal RNA". It matches the Rfam family "Bacterial small subunit ribosomal RNA", at positions 509 to 807 of the family's 1533-position model. The record is from RNAcentral.
CAGCAGCCGCGGUAAUACGAAGGGGGCUAGCGUUAAUCGGAAUUACUGGGCGUAAAGCGUGCGUAGGCGGUUUGUUAAGUCUGUUGUGAAAUCCCCGGGCUCAACCUGGGAACUGCAUUUGUGACUGGCAAGCUAGAGUGUGGCAGAGGGGGGUGGAAUUCCGCGUGUAGCAGUGAAAUGCGUAGAUAUGCGGAGGAACACCGAUGGCGAAGGCAGCCCCCUGGGCCAACACUGACGCUCAUGCACGAAAGCGUGGGGAGCAAACAGGAUUAGAUACCCGCGUAGUCCCUGUCUCUUAUAC